GUUAUACUCCCUCCGAUCCAUAUUAAUUGUCGAAAUAUUACAUGUAUCUAGACGCUUUUUAGGCAUAGAUACAUCCAUAUUUGGACGAAUUUGAGACAAUUAAUAUGGAUCGGAGGGAGUACCUU
Brachypodium distachyon (stiff brome) is the source of this 125-nucleotide non-coding RNA. The record is from Rfam. NCBI's taxonomy places the organism in Eukaryota, Viridiplantae, Streptophyta, Magnoliopsida, Poales, Poaceae.